CAGCCGCCGCGGGAAUACCAGCACCUCGAGUGGUCAGGAGGUUUAUUGGGCCUAAAGCAUCCGUAGCCGGUUGCAUAAGUUUUCGGUUAAAUCUAUGCGCUUAACGUAUAGGCCGUCGAAAAUACUGUGCAGCUAGGGAGUGGGAGAGGUACACGGUACUCGAUAGGAAGGGGUAAAAUCCUUUGAUCUAUUGAUGACCACCUGUGGCGAAGGCGGUGUACCAGAACACGUUCGACGGUGAGGGAUGAAAGCUGGGGGAGCAAACCGGAUUAGAUACCCCGGUAGUCCCUGUCUCUUAUAC
This 301-nucleotide ribosomal RNA is filed under the name uncultured bacterium. RNAcentral describes it as "partial 16S ribosomal RNA". It matches the Rfam family "Archaeal small subunit ribosomal RNA", at positions 459 to 760 of the family's 1478-position model. The record is from RNAcentral.